Molecule: long non-coding RNA, 295 nt
Organism: Sardina pilchardus (European sardine)
Lineage: Eukaryota; Metazoa; Chordata; Actinopteri; Clupeiformes; Clupeidae
Exons: 3
Source: RefSeq, a predicted model, not a curated record
GGAGUUUCAUCUCUGGAAAAAGCGUUCACAACCAGAGGGUUGGAACAAUCAUUCCAUUCGUUCAGAGGGCAACCACACACCAAACCAGCUUUGGACAGUUGGCUUGAUGCAAACACCUGCCAACCCUCCAGAUUACAUUGAGGGACUAAGCAUUACACCUGGCGCCUGGGAGAGCACAGACAUCACUCAAGAUGGCCACACUGGUGUUGUCGUCCCAGCAAUCGAAUGUCCCCUGGACGAGAACAAAAUGGCUGUUGGUAUUGAUACAGCACAUUCACUAGCAGCUAUGUGACUU